Molecule: long non-coding RNA, 715 nt
Filed under: Nicotiana benthamiana
Lineage: Eukaryota; Viridiplantae; Streptophyta; Magnoliopsida; Solanales; Solanaceae
Description: long non-coding RNA (NBEN_LNC022655)
Source: RNAcentral
GGAAAUAGAGAAGGUGUUACCAAGUGUUCCACCUCCAGAACCUAAGUAUCAGCUACGUAGAACAAGCUCCGCCCCUUUCUAACAUCAGUUUCAUGUAUGAUGAAUAUGUAGAUGCAUAGUGUUUGUUAUGUCAUUGAAAUUUAUCUUAGCUAGUCAUUAUCCAUCCAUCUCCUUGUUCUCGGUUAACAACUUUGUUCAGGAGAUUGCCCUUGGCUGUCGCCAAAGUAUCAGCUGCGUAGAACAAGCUCCGCCCCUUUCUAACAUCCAGUUUCAUGUAUGAUGAAUAUGUAGAUGCAUAGUGUCGUUAUGUCAUUGAAAUUUAUGUUAGCUAGUCAUUAUCCGUCCAUCUCCUUGUUCUCGGUUAACAUCUUUGUUCAGGAGAUUGCCCUUGGCUGUCUCUACUUCUCUAGAUAAAUUUCCUUGUAUGUACAUUUUUAUAGUUUUAACUUGGAAUUAUGCAGACGAGAUAGUUUUGGUAGUUUCCUUUCAGUUACUGUAAGCAUUUCCAGUAUGAAUGCUUUAUAGACAAGUUAAAAAUGAAGUAAUUGUAUGUCUUCAGUUGUAUUAAACGAAAGGAGAGGGGUAACCUGAAGUUUACGACUCUGAUAUUUAGAUCAACCUGAAGCUUUGAUCGGUUGUUUUCUAAGUUCAAUUGGGAGAUGUACAUGUUCCAUGUGGAUCAACAUCUGUUGUUCUCCUUUAUGUUGGAAGAAGC